GAUGAACGCUGGCGGCGUGCCUAAUACAUGCAAGUCGAGCGAACAGACGAGGAGCUUGCUCCUCUGACGUUAGCGGCGGACGGGUGAGUAACACGUGGAUAACCUACCUAUAAGACUGGGAUAACUUCGGGAAACCGGAGCUAAUACCGGAUAAUAUAUUGAACCGCAUGGUUCAAUAGUGAAAGACGGUUUUGCUGUCACUUAUAGAUGGAUCCGCGCCGCAUUAGCUAGUUGGUAAGGUAACGGCUUACCAAGGCAACGAUGCGUAGCCGACGUGAGAGGGUGAUCGGCCACACUGGAAAUGAGACACGGUCCAGACUCCUACGGGAGGCAGCAGUAGGGAAUCUUCCGCAAUGGGCGAAAGCCUGACGGAGCAACGCCGCGUGAGUGAUGAAGGUCUUCGGAUCGUAAAACUCUGUUAUUAGGGAAGAACAAAUGUGUAAGUAACUAUGCACGUCUUGACGGUACCUAAUCAGAAAGACACGGCUAACUACGUG
RNAcentral lists this ribosomal RNA (497 nucleotides) under uncultured bacterium. RNAcentral describes it as "partial 16S ribosomal RNA". It matches the Rfam family "Bacterial small subunit ribosomal RNA", at positions 28 to 507 of the family's 1533-position model. The record is from RNAcentral.